Monodelphis domestica (gray short-tailed opossum) is the source of this 463-nucleotide long non-coding RNA. RefSeq lists it as uncharacterized. The record is from RefSeq and is a predicted model, not a curated record. Lineage: Eukaryota; Metazoa; Chordata; Mammalia; Didelphimorphia; Didelphidae.
CUCAUUUGUUAAACAUGAUGUUUGGGCUAGAUGCCCCAAGGUCCCUUCCAGCUUGGAGACUGUGGUCCUAUCCAGUUCUAUGUAAGGUUCACCAUAUGCUUUUCCCACCACCACCCUCUGAGACAGGGACAAGGUCCCCAGCAUAGUUCUGCUGUAGAAGGCCAAUUCCCUGAGGAGACGGCUGACAUUAGACAAAUGAUCAUCUCAAUGACCCUCAUGGUAGCAGGUCUCUUGAACUCUAAGUUUCCAGCUUCUCAGUUUGGAACUCCCACUUCAGAACUUGGUAUCUUUGGAAUCUGACACCACUGAGAAACCCCGGCUCCUGGUCUACAAGCCUACAAUGGUUUACACUCUUGUUUUAGACAGUGAUUUAGAAUCAACUCAGGGAUAUGGAAAAUAAAUUGCUUAAUGAUCAGUUUUCUGAAAAUAAAACAAAUAAAAUCAACCCAUAACACAUUUUUAA